UUUUAACGAGAGUUUGAUCCUGGCUCAGGAUGAACGCUGGCGGCGUGCUUAACACAUGCAAGUCGAACGAAGCACUUUUAUUUGAUUUCUUCGGAAUGAAGAUUUUAGUGACUGAGUGGCGGACGGGUGAGUAACGCGUGGGUAACCU
RNAcentral lists this ribosomal RNA (148 nucleotides) under Ruminococcus sp. TF10-12AC. Its description in RNAcentral is "partial 16S ribosomal RNA". It matches the Rfam family "Bacterial small subunit ribosomal RNA", at positions 1 to 127 of the family's 1533-position model. Lineage: Bacteria; Bacillati; Bacillota; Clostridia; Eubacteriales; Oscillospiraceae. The record is from RNAcentral.